UAUUUUUUAAGAACUUAAAAUUCAUGUAWUGUGUUGUAUUUUCUCGUGGGUGAUGAGAUGCCGCCCCMNCUNUAAWNUAAUUUAAAUAGUAUAUGAUUUUCUUUAUUASACUGAUUUAAAWUUAAUAKRNAGUUUUAUAGGGUCUUCUCGUCUUUUUAGAAAGUUAUGCUUUUGGACAUAAAUAUUAAUUUUCAUUUUCCUCCCCGGAAAAGCUUAAGUAUUGACACCUC
Molecule: ribosomal RNA, 230 nt
Filed under: Rapaniscus sp. VTDes179
Lineage: Eukaryota; Metazoa; Arthropoda; Malacostraca; Isopoda; Nannoniscidae
Description: partial 16S ribosomal RNA
Source: RNAcentral